RNAcentral lists this long non-coding RNA (1736 nucleotides) under Homo sapiens (human). RNAcentral's name for it is "HSALNT0311878". Lineage: Eukaryota; Metazoa; Chordata; Mammalia; Primates; Hominidae. The record is from RNAcentral.
ACACGGCAACUUGGAUUCUAUGUCUGCAGAAAUGAUCAUCUCCUUCGAGCUGCUCUCAUCCCUCUGUCUUUUCUCUCCAUUAACCUGAUUUCCUACCAGGCUUUUCUCAGUUAUGUGGGAGGAUGCAGAAUUUAAUCCUUAUUCAUUGUUCCUUGAGGAUUUACCACAUGACAGACACUGUUCUGAGCAUUCUGCAUGUAUUAAGCCCAUUUAACAUGAGGUAGGUAGGGAUUGUUAUCAUGCCUAUUUGUGUUUGAGGAAACUGAGGCCCAGCAAGGGCAGGGAGUCAAUCGUCUGUGCUCUAUAAACACAGCGAACAGCCCUGAAGGAGUCCCCCUACUCUUGAGAAGCCAAUGUUUCUAGAGUGGGGAGACAGAAAGUGAAGAAGAGAACAAAUGAGGUAAUUUCAGGAAUAAAUUAGAAGGACGUUUAUGAAGGAGACUGGCCCAAUCUCAUUCUAGGUCACACAGUAGCUACUAAGGGGGGGCACUGGGCCCAGAACCCAGGCUAUCUGACGCCAAGGGCAACCUAACAUUGCACCCCACAUCAUUCUUCUUAAAGGGGCUUAUCUGGCAUUUCCUAUAUGGAUUAUGAAUUAUUACAUAUAGGCAUUUCCUAUGUGGAUUAUGAAUUAUUACAUAUAGAACAAUGUAGCAAAGAAGAAGGUAUUAAAAAGUUUCUUUUAAAAAAUUCAGCAAAUAAUAACAACCAGAUGAAGGAAACUUCUCUAGGUCAUUUGCUUCAGAUCCACACUUCGGAUGAAAAUGGCUGAAAAGGAGGCAGAGAUGGCAGAAGACUAAAGGAAAGCGCCGAGCUGUGACUUGACGCCCAUUCCAAGGGCAGUGUGGCUCUUGUGAGACCAAAAGAAGAGUAGGAAUGAACGCGUGGGUCCUGUGAGCAGCGGGUGGCUUUGCUGAGCUUGGUGCUCUUAGAAGACCAGCCACUUUUGUCCCUGCAGCCCGGGGCCACAGAGCCAGACACCAGACCCACAGCAGCCCGGGAAGUAACGGUCGCUCUGUCUCGUCUGGGAAGAUCUCCGUUGCCAGGGCUUGCUGGACCCGCCCCCGCACAGCUUCCCAGCAGUCCCGAUUCCGCCUGAGGCUCCAGAAGGCGAAGCUGUACAGGAGGCCACUUUUCUUCUCAGCCUAGAACUCGAGAGACCUGAAAGGAAGGACGACUGGCCACAGGAGAUGUUUCACAGAGCCGCUGAAUGAACAACACAGUCAAUUCUGAUCAACUUUCCAGUGCUAUCUGGGUGUAAGUGAGUGGCCCUGGAGGUGGGUGCCUCUCCCCGGCGCAGUUUUUCCUUCCAUCACAAGCAUGGCUGAAGCUGGGUGGUGGUGCAUACAGAUUCCAGCCAGCAAGGAGGGGAAAGAGAGUUCAGAGGACUCACCUCCACUGUCCCCGACCCAGGCCUGUAGCAUCUAUAUUGGCUCCUCUCAGGUUCCACAGAAUUCCUCAAGAUGACUGAGGUUGGUCCCUGAAGAAACCAAAUUCAGUGUAAGAAAACCAACAUCACAAAGAGUCCCAACCAAGGUCCAGAGCAGCUUCCUAUUCUGAGUCUGUUGCCCUUGAAGAGAUGAACGGCCAGCAUCCAAAAGCAGUGAUAAAUUGCACCCAGAGGGCACUUCAAGAAAUGUGACUUGAUGAGGGUCUAAAGAUGAAGGCUGACAUUUAGAGCUUGUGAAUACAACUUCCACCUCCAUCUGUAAGCAGAAAAUAGUUCAUUAAAUAAA